GACGAACGCUGGCGGCGUGCUUAACACAUGCAAGUCGAACGGUGAAGCGCCUUCCUUUUUGUUUUGUGUGUAUGAGUGGCUGACCGGUGAGUAACACGUGCGUAACCUGCCCCCUUCUUCUGGAUAACCUCAUGAAAGUGUCGCUAAUACGGGAUAUUCUGUGUCUGUCGCAUGAUGGGUCUUUGAAAGCUAUUGUUUCGGUGUGGGCUGAGCUCGCGGCCUAUCAGCUUGGUGGUGGGGUGAUGGCCUACCAAGGCGGUGACGAGUAGCCGGCCGGAGAGGGUGGACGGCAAGAGUGGUGAGGAGAGGCGGAGAAGACUACGAGGGGAGGCAGCAGGGGGGAAUAGAGCAUGAGGGGAGGAAGGCUGAUGCAGCGACGCCGGGGGAGGGAGGGAGGUCGGGGGGUUGUGAACCUCUGUCGGGAGUGAAGAAGGGCUGCCUAGUAUGUGGGUGGGUUGACGGUAGCUGGAGAAGAAGCGCCGGCUAACUACGUG
Molecule: ribosomal RNA, 494 nt
Filed under: uncultured bacterium
Lineage: Bacteria
Description: partial 16S ribosomal RNA
Rfam family: Bacterial small subunit ribosomal RNA
Source: RNAcentral